GACGAACGCUGGCGGCGUGCUUAACACAUGCAAGUCGAACGGAAAGGCCCUGCUUUUGUGGGGUGCUCGAGUGGCGAACGGGUGAGUAACACGUGAGUAACCUGCCCUUGACUUUGGGAUAACUUCAGGAAACUGUGGCUAAUACCGGAUAGGAGCUCCUGCUGCAUGGUGGGGGUUGGAAAGUUUCGGCGGUUGGGGAUGGACUCGCGGCUUAUCAGCUUGUUGGUGGGGUAGUGGCUUACCAAGGCUUUGACGGGUAGCCGGCCUGAGAGGGUGACCGGCCACAUUGGGACUGAGAUACGGCCCAGACUCCUACGGGAGGCAGCAGUGGGGAAUAGUGCAAAAUGGGCGGAAGCCUGAUGCAGCAACGCCGCGUGCGGGAUGACGGCUUUCGGGUUGUAAACCGCUUUCGCCUGUGACGAAGCGUGAGUGACGGUAAUGGGUAAAGAAGCACCGGCUAACUACGUG
This 468-nucleotide ribosomal RNA is filed under the name uncultured bacterium. Its description in RNAcentral is "partial 16S ribosomal RNA". It matches the Rfam family "Bacterial small subunit ribosomal RNA", at positions 28 to 507 of the family's 1533-position model. The record is from RNAcentral.